Molecule: long non-coding RNA, 2093 nt
Organism: Paramacrobiotus metropolitanus
Lineage: Eukaryota; Metazoa; Tardigrada; Eutardigrada; Parachela; Macrobiotidae
Exons: 4
Source: RefSeq, a predicted model, not a curated record
GCCACUUUCCACACAGCUUUUCCGCAUUGGUUUUCUGUUGGUUGUUUUUGUUGGUUGCUUUAUUGCUUCACAAUAAAGGAGAGAUACUUGCUCCCUUUUUGCUCUCUGCUUCUGUGUCAUAUGUCUGCUGGAAGUAUUUUUAUUCUGAGCAAUUAGCAACCCCAGCAUUUUAUUUUGAUUUGCUAUUUGUGCUUUGUUCUGCUCCGCUGCUAUUCUGUUCUGUUCAACGAACAAGUGAACUGCUGAUUCUAGAGAAUCACUAGAACACACAGACAAAGCGGGACUUCCACCACGGGAUUACCGUUACCAGGGCACGAUGUUGACUUGGAUUUCCUGGACAGUCAACCCGGCCUGCAUUUUGUGAAGCGGAUAUCGGCCGCAGGGAAACAAACUUGUGGCUGCGACUGCACAAGUACCGGGGCAAAUGGUACACUGGAAUUAUUUAUCACCGCCGUACCCUGUGACGGACUUACUUGCUGAUAUGGGUGGGAUACAUUCAAAUCGGAAGGACCAAAGUCCUGCCCGUCAUAUCGCUCCGGCGCCUGCAGUGCCGCACUGCUGCUAUGCCAACAGGUAUUUCCGGUUCAUAGAACCGUUAAUUAACCGUAUAACCCCGCAAUCGAAUGCGGUACUCGAUUACCUCUGCUGCCUUUUCCUUGGCAUAGCUCUGCAGAUCAUGAUAUAGUACUCUGAUUUUAUUGUUUUCUUUCCGGAUUUUGUCAUUAUCAUCUUUCACACGGCCAACUUCCUGCUGGCUUUCGAAUGCCAAAGACUGCGCUAUUGCUUUAGCUGCAUUAGCGUUUGUAGCCGGCAAACAUGUUGGCCUGUUGACUGUUGGCGAGCCCGGCAGGAAAGUGGUUUUCCUCCCAUAGAUCUGCCGAAAUGCGCCCACACUUCUGCCGACCCGACCAUAUGCAUUGUCUAUGGGAACUCCAAUAGAUCAGCCGAACCAGAGCACCAGAGCAAUUUGAUACUUCUGUUGGAGCGCAAGCCGGCAAUAGCACGCCCGGGCUGCAUCGUAUACAGCAACAGACACUGCCGCAUUUGAGGAUUUACUUGCCAUGGUAAUCUGUGGCUGCGCAAUGGCCAAUUCUUGCUGUAAUUGUGCUACCAAAUCAGCAUUGGGAUUCACCCUUCUUUUUUCUGCUGUUAAUUCUCGGUGCAGCUGAUUAACUCUCUCAGAGAGGCAGGCCCCCAGUUUACAAAUGGUGUGUCGCUCUAAGCGGUUGACAAGGCUGAUGCAGUCCGUUUUGCUAUCAGUAAUUUGAGACAGUUUCUGCGACGACGGGUGAAUGUUAGAUGGAGGACUAUUUAUUCCAGGAUUAAUCGAUGUAACCAGCUUGUCAAAGUAAUCGACGACAAUCUGUUUUUCUUCUGGUCCCAUUGCAUUCAGUCUUGCUGUGUCCGGCGCAUCUCCCAACCACAGUAAUCCAUGUAAAUGAACGCUCCCUCGGUGUUGAAACUCAAACCGAUACCAGCACAUAGACAGUAGUCCACAAUGUGUAAAUGCGGUUUUAAAACGUCGUGAAUAAAGAUUUUUGCCCGUUCGACAAAGAACCUCUUAAAACGAAUCCACAAAAAACAUUUUGCGGCAAAAGAAGAUCGACUUACAAAAACUUCUUUUCGGUUCUCUUUCUUUUUUAACUUCUUGCCACGCAAUGAAUUCUAUGAAGCUGUAAAGUUAGAAUUAUUCUAAACUGUAUAUUUAUUUCUGACAUCUGCAAAAUUCAUGGCCAGUGAGCCGAUGAAAGGUUUGCGUCCGGCGCUCUGCCAGUUCUCAUCCCAUCGGAUCGUAAGAAGCGCCAAAAUUUUGCUGAACUUUCAAAGGGUGAUUUAUUCCUUCAAGCAAAUUAUUGUAAAAAUGUAGUCAUAUCCGUCAUUCAGGAAGUUUAACAAAUUUGCGCUAACCAAUUUUAAUUUCUCAUUAUUUUCAACCUGAACAAUUCUGACGUUCGUGGCGCCGUUGCCAUUUUAGCGUUACCCCGUUUGCAUCAGAUGCAACUGCCAACCUGGCAACCCGGUAAUGGCAGCAGGACCACGAACGCCAUCGCAUGUCAGGCACUAUAGUAGAUGAGGCUGCCAACAAAGGCAGA